GAGAGUUUGAUCCUGGCUCAGAAUCAACGCUGGCGGCGUGCCUCAGACAUGCAAGUCGAACGAUUAAAGCUCUCUUCGGAGAGUGCAUAGAGUGGCGCACGGGUGAGUAACACGUGCGCUAAUACCGCAUAAUGCAGCGGCAUCGCAAGAUGACAGUUGUUAAAGGAGCAAUCCGCUUGAAGAGGAGCUUGCGGCAGAUUAGCUAGUUGGUAGGGUAAUGGCCUACCAAGGCUACGAUCUGUAACCGGUCUUAGAGGACGGUCGGUCACACUGACACUGAAUAACGGGUCAGACUCCUACGGGAGGCAGCAGUCGGGAAUUUUGGGCAAUGG
Molecule: ribosomal RNA, 332 nt
Filed under: Acidobacteriota bacterium
Lineage: Bacteria; Pseudomonadati; Acidobacteriota
Description: bacterial SSU rRNA
Rfam family: Bacterial small subunit ribosomal RNA
Source: RNAcentral